This 3351-nucleotide unclassified non-coding RNA is filed under the name Amphibalanus amphitrite. RNAcentral's name for it is "dnaJ homolog subfamily A member 1-like, transcript variant X2". The record is from RNAcentral. Lineage: Eukaryota; Metazoa; Arthropoda; Thecostraca; Balanomorpha; Balanidae.
GUUGGCCUCGUGCUUCAGCUCGGGAUUUCAGUUUAUGAGAAUAGGUAGUGCCUACGUGCAUCAGCAUAAGUUCUGUGUGAAUCAAGUGGAGCUUUUCUUAGGAGCUGCUUGGCUUCGUUUGGGCUGGACACAUUAAGCUAUGCCUGUCCCAUCCUCCACAAUGGUGAAGGAGACUGGCUAUUACGACGUGCUGGGGGUGAAACCCUCCGCCACGGCCGAUGAGCUGAAGAAGGCCUACCGCAAGCUGGCGCUCAAGUACCACCCGGACAAGAACCCGUCCGAGGGCGAGCGCUUCAAGGCGAUUUCGCAGGCGUACGAGGUGCUUUCUGACGAGAAGAAGCGGCAGAUCUAUGAUGAGGGUGGCGAACAGGCCAUCAAGGAGGGCGGAUCGGGCGGCGGUGGCGGCGGUUUCCACUCGCCCAUGGACAUCUUCGACAUGUUCUUCGGCGGCGGAGGACACCGCAAGGAGCGCGAGCGCAGGGGUAAGAACGUGGUCCACCAACUGCCCGUCACCCUGGAGGAGAUGUACAACGGCGCCACGCGCAAGCUCUCCCUGCAGAAGAACGUCAUCUGCGAGCGCUGCGAGGGCCGCGGCGGCAAGAAGGGCGCCGUUGAGACGUGCCCCAACUGCCGCGGAUCAGGGAUGCAGAUCCGCGUACAGCAGCUGGGGCCCGGCUUCGUGCAGCAGAUCCAGUCCAUGUGCGACGAGUGCCGCGGCCAGGGCGAGCGCAUCAACCCGCGCGACAGGUGCAAACACUGCAACGGCAAAAAGGUGGUUCGGACCAAAAAGAUUCUGGAGGUACACAUUGACAAGGGUAUGACGGACGACCAGCGGAUCACAUUCAGCGGCGAGGGCGACCAGGAGCCGGGCCUCGAGCCCGGAGACAUCAUCAUUGUGCUCGACGAGCGCGAGCACGAGACCUUCAAGCGGGACGGCGACGACCUCAUCAUGAAGAUGGAAAUCGAGCUGGUGGAGGCGCUGUGCGGCUUCCAGAAGACCAUCACCACGCUGGACAAACGCUCACUGCUGCUCACCUGCAUACCAGGCGAGGUCAUCAAGCACGGCGUCAUCAAGUGCAUCCUGAACGAGGGCAUGCCGCACUACCGGAAUCCGUUCGAGAAGGGCCGCCUGAUCGUGCAGUUCCUGGUCAACUUCCCCGAGCGGCUCGACCCGGCCAACGUGGCGCAGCUGGAGAAACUGCUGCCGCCCAGGCCGUUCCUGCCGGUGCCCGAGGACGCCGAGAUGGUGCAGCUGGCCGACCUGGACCCGCGCCAGGAGAGCCGCCGCCACCACCAGGCGCACGGCGCCGUCUACGACGAGGACGACAUGCACGGCGGCCGCGGCCCCGGCGGCCCCGUCCAAUGUCAGACCCACUAGGAGAGCCGCGCCGCAGCCGAGCGGUCGGACGGACGGACAGACCUGCCGGCUGUGCCGCGUCGCAGCGAGCGCGGUGUGACUGUGCUUCGAGUGAGUGUUCAUAAGUGUCCUAGGUCGAGCGUCGCGUCGCACCCCGCCCGCCGCCGCCGCCGCUGUGGGCAGCCCGGGCGACAGGAGAGUACGGCUGGCCGGCCCAGUCCGCUGACGACGGCAGGGAAGUGUGUGAUACGGGGAGGCUGGCCGGCGCCGGGAGGACCGCGGAUGGACGUACAGAGGGCGGCAGCGGUCCGCCGCCGGUGCCGCUAGUGAUGGACGCUGGGUGACGGCGCCACUGACCGGCGGGCCCCGGGGGAGGGAGACGGGGAGGCACCGGCCGGACUGAGAGCGGUACAGGGAGGCACCGGCCGGAAUCUGAGAGCGGUACAGGGAGGCACCGGCCGGAAUCUGAGAGCGGUACAGGGAGGCACCGGCCGGACUGAGAGCGGUACAGGGAGGCACCGGCCGGAAUCUGAGAGCGGUACAGGGAGGCACCGGCCGGAAUCUGAGAGCGGUACAGGGAGGCACCGGCCGGAAUCUGAGAGCGGUACAGGGAGGCACCGGCCGGAAUCUGAGAGCGGUACAGGGAGGUACCGGCCGGAAUCUGAGAGCGAUUUAUGCGGUGGAGGCGAGCUACAGCCUGGAAUGCCGGAAAAGACGGAGCUGUGAACUCGACAGAUGAUCGGAGGGCAUUGGGACGAUGGACGGUCGUGAUUCGACUACCUCGCCUCUACCUGAAUAGGUAGCUGGUGACUGACUUGGUGUUUGAAGGAGACUGAAGAGAUCACGGCGGUGAACUAGGAGCGCGUGGGAGACAUAGAUCAAGGCCGGGAAACCCGGAUGAGCGAUGCUGUGUUAUGUGACUAGUGUGAUCUGGAAAAUGAAAUGAAACAUCGAUAUGUCUCUACGGCAUCUGUUUGAUUUGUGGAGUUUGAUUCGAAUCAGGAGCCCUGGUGAAUGUACCAAUGUGGGAUGAGAGAUUGCAAUUACCGGCGACAUAAAGCACGGCAAGCACCAACUCAAACGUUUGAGUGUAGUUAUACAGGCACCCAUGACCGGCAUCGCACAUAUGCGAAUAGUGUGAAAUGCGACUUGGUGUGCUGUGUGAAUGUGUGGUGGCGAAAUUGUGGUGUUGUGUCCAGGCGUAACUGGACAGUUUGAAUGAGUGGCUGGUCGCGAGACUGAGUGAGAUAGUUGGAAUGAGACGGCGACUGAGAGUGGUCGGGACUGACGCUGUUAACCACUGGGUAGACUGAUGUGUGCUUGUGGGAUAACGUUUGCGUAGUAUCUUAGGCUUGUUUUUUUUUUUUGCGUGUGAGUUCUUUCAUGCUUAUCUCAUUGUGUGGCCACGUAUUCCAGUGUGUGUUAGGAGUGCUGAUUGGUUGCGCGUUGUAUCAUACCUUAGGUCCGAAUGUGAUGUGAGGGAUGGGAGUGUCAUCUCGGCGCUGGCUGAGGGCGAUGCAGCUGACCUCCCCCGGGCUCUGCGGCGGCGGCGGCGGGCUGGGCCCUCCCCACACCCGCCUGAGGCGGUCCGGGCCGGUCGGCGGCGGCCACAUCAGCUUUACCUCUCCCGGGAGUCGCCGCGGUCCGCCCCGUGGGCUGCGUGUCCCCGCGGCAGGCUUCUGGACCGUGCGGUGCCUGGGACAGACUCUGUGCGGCACUCGCCGGGCGGGGUGGUGACGCGCUCGGCCGGUCAGCGGGGAGAUGUGUGUUCCGCCGGGUGUGAGGCUGGGUCCCGCCGCUGACCGGCUGAUCAGACUGGCACCGUACCCCCGCUCCGGUGGACGCCGCUGGUCGGUUCGGCGCCGGCGUUUCGGGUUUCUCUGUUCAUGUCGCUAGGUUGUAUUACAUUCUCGACUGGUAGGUUCUGUCCGAUUUAUUCGAGCUGAUUAUGUGUAUUGCAUAUUGUCAUGUGAACAAUAAACUGGAUGGUAGAA